AGAGUUUGAUCAUGGCUCAGAUUGAACGCUGGCGGCAGGCCUAACACAUGCAAGUCGAGCGGAAACGGCAGCAUUGAAGCUUCGGUGGAUUUGCUGGACGUCAAGCGGCGGACGGGUGAGUAACGGCUGGGAACCUGCCCUGACGAGGGGGAUAACCGUUGGAAACGACGGCUAAUACCGCAUAAUGUCUUGGUUCGUUAGGAUCAGGACCAAAGGUGGCCUCUACAUGUAAGCUAUCGCGUUGGGAUGGGCCCAGUUAGGAUUAGCUAGUUGGUAAGGUAAUGGCUUACCAAGGCAACGAUCCUUAGCUGGUUUGAGAGGAUGAUCAGCACACUGGGACUGAGACACGGCCCAGACUCCUACGGGAGGCAGCAGUGGGGAAUAUUGCACAAUGGGGGAGACCCUGAUGCAGCCAUGCCGCGUGUGUGAAGAAGGCCUUCGGGUUGUAAAGCACUUUCAGCAGUGAGGAAGGUCGUGUACUUAAUACGUGCACGGCUUGACGUUAGCUGCAGAAGAAGCACCGGCUAACUCCGUGCCAGCAGCCGCGGUAAUACGGAGGGUGCGAGCGUUAAUCGGAAUUACUGGGCGUAAAGCGCAUGCAGGCGGUUUGUUAAGUCAGAUGUGAAAGCCCGGGGCUCAACCUCGGAACCGCAUUUGAAACUGGCAGGCUAGAGUCUUGUAGAGGGGGGUAGAAUUUCAGGUGUAGCGGUGAAAUGCGUAGAGAUCUGAAGGAAUACCAGUGGCGAAGGCGGCCCCCUGGACAAAGACUGACGCUCAGAUGCGAAAGCGUGGGUAGCAAACAGGAUUAGAUACCCUGGUAGUCCACGCUGUAAACGAUGUCUACUUGGAGGUUGAGGUUUUAGACUUUGGCUUUCGGCGCUAACGCAUUAAGUAGACCGCCUGGGGAGUACGGCCGCAAGGUUAAAACUCAAAUGAAUUGACGGGGGCCCGCACAAGCGGUGGAGCAUGUGGUUUAAUUCGAUGCAACGCGAAGAACCUUACCUACUCUUGACAUCCAGCGAAGCCUUUAGAGAUAGAGGCGUGCCUUCGGGAGCGCUGAGACAGGUGCUGCAUGGCUGUCGUCAGCUCGUGUUGUGAAAUGUUGGGUUAAGUCCCGCAACGAGCGCAACCCUUAUCCUUGUUUGCCAGCACGUAAAGGUGGGAACUCCAGGGAGACUGCCGGUGAUAAACCGGAGGAAGGUGGGGACGACGUCAAGUCAUCAUGGCCCUUACGAGUAGGGCUACACACGUGCUACAAUGGCAGAUACAGAGGGCAGCGAGACAGCGAUGUUGAGCGAAUCCCUUAAAGUUUGUCGUAGUCCGGAUUGGAGUCUGCAACUCGACUCCAUGAAGUCGGAAUCGCUAGUAAUCGUGGAUCAGAAUGCCACGGUGAAUACGUUCCCGGGCCUUGUACACACCGCCCGUCACACCAUGGGAGUGGGCUGCACCAGAAGUAGAUAGCUUAACCUUCGGGAGGGCGUUUACCACGGUGUGGUUCAUGACUGGGGUGAAGUCGUAACAAGGUAGCCCUAGGGGAACCUGGGGCUGGAUCACCUCCUU
RNAcentral lists this ribosomal RNA (1560 nucleotides) under Salinivibrio socompensis S34. RNAcentral describes it as "bacterial SSU rRNA". It matches the Rfam family "Bacterial small subunit ribosomal RNA". Lineage: Bacteria; Pseudomonadati; Pseudomonadota; Gammaproteobacteria; Vibrionales; Vibrionaceae. The record is from RNAcentral.